Molecule: ribosomal RNA, 722 nt
Filed under: uncultured bacterium
Lineage: Bacteria
Description: bacterial SSU rRNA
Rfam family: Bacterial small subunit ribosomal RNA
Source: RNAcentral
AGAGUUUGAUCCUGGCUCAGAACGAACGCUGGCGGCGUGCUUAACACAUGCAAGUCGAACGCGAAAGUAGUCUUCGGACUGCGAGUAGAGUGGCGCACGGGUGAGUAACGCGUAAAUAAUCUACCCUGAUGUCUGGGAUAACCAGCCGAAAGGCUGACUAAUACCGGGUAUAUGCUUCCCUGUUGGGGGAAUCAGGAAAGGUGGCCUCUGAUUUAAGCUACCGCAUUUGGAUGAGUUUGCGUACCAUUAGCUAGUUGGUGGGGUAAUGGCCUACCAAGGCUUCGAUGGUUAGCGGGUCUGAGAGGAUGAUCCGUCACACUGGCACUGGAACACGGGCCAGACUCCUACGGGAGGCAGCAGUGAGGAAUAUUGCGCAAUGGGGGAAACCCUGACGCAGCGACGCCGCGUGAGUGAGGAAGGCCUUCGGGUCGUAAAGCUCUGUCAGUAGGGAAGAAGUGCGUAUAAGUUAAUACCUUAUACGUUUGACGGUACCUACAAAGGAAGCACCGGCUAACUCCGUGCCAGCAGCCGCGGUAAUACGGAGGGUGCAAGCGUUGUUCGGAAUCACUGGGCGUAAAGGGCGCGCAGGCGGUCUUAAUAGUCAGAUGUGAAAGCCCACGGCUCAACCGUGGAAGUGCAUUUGAAACUGUAAGACUUGAGUAUCAGAGGGGAAAGUGGAAUUCCCGGUGUAGAGGUGAAAUCCGUAGAUAUCGGGAGGAAUA